GUGCUCCCUUCGGUAGCACAUAUAUUAAAAAACUGGAAUGAUACAGAGAAGAUUAGCAUGGCCCCUGCACAAGUAUGACAUGCAAAUUCUUGAAGUGUUCCAUAUUUAA
RNAcentral lists this small nuclear RNA (109 nucleotides) under Propithecus coquereli (Coquerel's sifaka). Lineage: Eukaryota; Metazoa; Chordata; Mammalia; Primates; Indriidae. The record is from RNAcentral.